This 1960-nucleotide ribosomal RNA is filed under the name human gut metagenome. Its description in RNAcentral is "bacterial LSU rRNA". It matches the Rfam family "Bacterial large subunit ribosomal RNA", at positions 3 to 1985 of the family's 2925-position model. The record is from RNAcentral.
UCAAGCGAUUAAGCGCACACGGUGGAUGCCUAGGCAGCCAGAGGCGAUGAAGGACGUUGUAGCCUGCGAAAAGGCUCGGUGAGGUGGCAAACAACCUGUGACCCGGGCAUGUCCGAAUGGGGAAACCCACCCAGCAUAAGCUGGGUAUCCCACACUGAAUCCAUAGGUGUUGGGAAGCGAACCGGGGGAACUGAAACAUCUAAGUACCCCGAGGAAAAGAAAUCAACCGAGAUUCCCCCAGUAGCGGCGAGCGAACGGGGAGCAGCCCGGAGUCUGAAUCAGCUUGUGUGUUAGUGGAACGGUCUGGAAAGUCCGACGGUACAGGGUGAUAGUCCCGUACACGAAAAUGCACUUGCUGUGAACUCGAAGAGUAGGGCGGGACACGUGGUAUCCUGUCUGAAUAUGGGGGGACCAUCCUCCAAGGCUAAAUACUCCUGACUGACCGAUAGUGAACCAGUACCGUGAGGGAAAGGCGAAAAGAACCCCGGCGAGGGGAGUGAAAAAGAACCUGAAACCGUGUACGUACAAGCAGUGGGAGCCUCUUUAUGGGGUGACUGCGUACCUUUUGUAUAAUGGGUCAGCGACUUAUAUUCUGUAGCAAGGUUAACCGUAUAGGGGAGCCGAAGGGAAACCGAGUCUUAACUGGGCGUUAAGUUGCAGGGUAUAGACCCGAAACCCGGUGAUCUAGCCAUGGGCAGGUUGAAGGUUGGGUAACACUAACUGGAGGACCGAACCGACUAAUGUUGAAAAAUUAGCGGAUGACUUGUGGCUGGGGGUGAAAGGCCAAUCAAACCGGGAGAUAGCUGGUUCUCCCCGAAAGCUAUUUAGGUAGCGCCUCGUGAACUCAUCUUCGGGGGUAGAGCACUGUUUCGGCUAGGGGGCCAUCCCGGCUUACCAACCCGAUGCAAACUACGAAUACCGAAGAAUGUUAUCACGGGAGACACACGGCGGGUGCUAACGUCCGUCGUGAAGAGGGAAACAACCCAGACCGCCAGCUAAGGUCCCAAAGUCAUGGUUAAGUGGGAAACGAUGUGGGAAGGCACAGACAGCCAGGAUGUUGGCUUAGAAGCAGCCAUCAUUUAAAGAAAGCGUAAUAGCUCACUGGUCGAGUCGGCCUGCGCGGAAGAUGUAACGGGGCUAAACCAUGCACCGAAGCUGCGGCAGCGACACUAUGUGUUGUUGGGUAGGGGAGCGUUCUGUAAGCCGUUGAAGGUGUGCUGUGAGGCAUGCUGGAGGUAUCAGAAGUGCGAAUGCUGACAUAAGUAACGAUAAAGCGGGUGAAAAGCCCGCUCGCCGGAAGACCAAGGGUUCCUGUCCAACGUUAAUCGGGGCAGGGUGAGUCGACCCCUAAGGCGAGGCCGAAAGGCGUAGUCGAUGGGAAACAGGUUAAUAUUCCUGUACUUGGUGUUACUGCGAAGGGGGGACGGAGAAGGCUAUGUCAGCCGGGCGACGGUUGUCCCGGUUUAAGCAUGUAGGCGGAGGUUCCAGGUAAAUCCGGUACCUUAUUAACGCUGAGGUGUGAUGACGAGGCACUACGGUGCUGAAGUGAUAAAUGCCCUGCUUCCAGGAAAAGCCUCUAAGCAUCAGGUAACACGAAAUCGUACCCCAAACCGACACAGGUGGUCAGGUAGAGAAUACCAAGGCGCUUGAGAGAACUCGGGUGAAGGAACUAGGCAAAAUGGUGCCGUAACUUCGGGAGAAGGCACGCUGAUAUGUAGGUGAAGCCCCUGCGGGCGGAGCUGAAAUCAGUCGAAGAUACCAGCUGGCUGCAACUGUUUAUUAAAAACACAGCACUGUGCAAACACGAAAGUGGACGUAUACGGUGUGACGCCUGCCCGGUGCCGGAAGGUUAAUUGAUGGGGUUAGCGGCAACGCGAAGCUCUUGAUCGAAGCCCCGGUAAACGGCGGCCGUAACUAUAACGGUCCUAAGGUAGCGAAAUUCCUUGUCGGGUAAGUUCCG